Molecule: ribosomal RNA, 757 nt
Filed under: Kocuria sp. 4-26
Lineage: Bacteria; Bacillati; Actinomycetota; Actinomycetes; Micrococcales; Micrococcaceae
Description: bacterial SSU rRNA
Rfam family: Bacterial small subunit ribosomal RNA
Source: RNAcentral
UGCAAGUCGAACGAUGAUGCCCAGCUUGCUGGGCGGAUUAGUGGCGAACGGGUGAGUAAUACGUGAGUAACCUGCCCUUGACUCUGGGAUAAGCCUGGGAAACUGGGUCUAAUACUGGAUACUACCUCUUACCGCAUGGUGGGUGGUGGAAAGGGUUUUACUGGUUUUGGAUGGGCUCACGGCCUAUCAGCUUGUUGGUGGGGUAAUGGCUCACCAAGGCGACGACGGGUAGCCGGCCUGAGAGGGUGACCGGCCACACUGGGACUGAGACACGGCCCAGACUCCUACGGGAGGCAGCAGUGGGGAAUAUUGCACAAUGGGCGGAAGCCUGAUGCAGCGACGCCGCGUGAGGGAUGACGGCCUUCGGGUUGUAAACCUCUUUCAGUAGGGAAGAAGCGAGAGUGACGGUACCUGCAGAAGAAGCGCCGGCUAACUACGUGCCAGCAGCCGCGGUAAUACGUAGGGCGCAAGCGUUGUCCGGAAUUAUUGGGCGUAAAGAGCUCGUAGGCGGUUUGUCGCGUCUGCUGUGAAAGCCCGGGGCUCAACCCCGGGUCUGCAGUGGGUACGGGUAGACUAGAGUGCAGUAGGGGAGACUGGAAUUCCUGGUGUAGCGGUGAAAUGCGCAGAUAUCAGGAGGAACACCGAUGGCGAAGGCAGGUCUCUGGGCUGUUACUGACGCUGAGGAGCGAAAGCAUGGGGAGCGAACAGGAUUAGAUACCCUGGUAGUCCAUGCCGUAAACGUUGGGCACUAGGUGUG